This 298-nucleotide ribosomal RNA is filed under the name Salmonella enterica subsp. enterica serovar Typhimurium. Its description in RNAcentral is "partial 23S ribosomal RNA". It matches the Rfam family "Bacterial large subunit ribosomal RNA", at positions 1295 to 1594 of the family's 2925-position model. The record is from RNAcentral. Lineage: Bacteria; Pseudomonadati; Pseudomonadota; Gammaproteobacteria; Enterobacterales; Enterobacteriaceae.
UGCUGACAUAAGUAACGAUAAAGCGGGUGAAAAGCCCGCUCGCCGGAAGACCAAGGGUUCCUGUCCAACGUUAAUCGGGGCAGGGUGAGUCGACCCCUAAGGCGAGGCCGAAAGGCGUAGUCGAUGGGAAACGGGUUAAUAUUCCCGUACUUGGUGUUACUGCGAAGGGGGGACGGAGAAGGCUAUGUUGGCCGGGCGACGGUUGUCCCGGUUUAAGCGUGUAGGUGUGUGUUCCAGGUAAAUCCGGUUCACUUUAACACUGAGGCGUGACGACGAGGCACUACGGUGCUGAAGCAAC